Long non-coding RNA from Mytilus trossulus (common blue mussel), 429 nucleotides. RefSeq lists it as uncharacterized. NCBI's taxonomy places the organism in Eukaryota, Metazoa, Mollusca, Bivalvia, Mytilida, Mytilidae. The record is from RefSeq and is a predicted model, not a curated record. The transcript is spliced from 4 exons.
AAACGUAAAUAACAGAGUAUGUUAGGUCAUAUCAUCCUUAAUUCCAUUACAACUACACUAGUGUACUAAGAGGAUAACAUAUAUCUAUAAACAUGACAAACUUUUUGAACAGUUGUAUCUUAUUUUUCACUAGUGUUGCCGUGUGUUCAGUCAAUGUACAUGGAUACAACUUACCAUAUUCAUCCUAUUAUCCCGUACAACAAGAUUAUUCUUCAGGAGGAGUAUUUGAUGUGUUCGGACAACUAGGCGGAUUAUUCCUGAUAUACGUUUUGCUGCUAUCAGUUCUGAAGAAUUUUGGAAAUAGAACAACCAAAUAAAUACAGCUGGCAGGUAUUGUACCAGCAGAUUUGAAACACCAAAGAAACUUCGCUCACCACGUCUUUCAGAAUGUUUGUUGAAUAUUUAAAAUAAAUGUUAUUUAAGUAUGAA